This 432-nucleotide ribosomal RNA is filed under the name uncultured bacterium. RNAcentral describes it as "bacterial SSU rRNA". It matches the Rfam family "Bacterial small subunit ribosomal RNA", at positions 78 to 507 of the family's 1533-position model. The record is from RNAcentral.
AGCAAUCCUGGUGGCGAGUGGCGAACGGGUGAGUAAUAUAUCGGAACGUGCCCAGUCGUGGGGGAUAACGUAGCGAAAGCUACGCUAAUACCGCAUACGAUCUGUGGAUGAAAGCGGGGGAUCGCAAGACCUCGCGCGAUUGGAGCGGCGAUAUCAGAUUAGGUAGUUGGUGAGGUAAAGGCUCACCAAGCCGACGAUCUGUAGCUGGUCUGAGAGGACGACCAGCCACACUGGGACUGAGACACGGCCCAGACUCCUACGGGAGGCAGCAGUGGGGAAUUUUGGACAAUGGGCGCAAGCCUGAUCCAGCAAUGCCGCGUGCAGGAUGAAGGCCUUCGGGUUGUAAACUGCUUUUGUACGGAACGAAACGGUGAGCUCUAAUACAGUUUGCUAAUGACGGUACCGUAAGAAUAAGCACCGGCUAACUACGUG